RNAcentral lists this ribosomal RNA (253 nucleotides) under uncultured bacterium. Its description in RNAcentral is "partial 16S ribosomal RNA". It matches the Rfam family "Bacterial small subunit ribosomal RNA", at positions 524 to 776 of the family's 1533-position model. The record is from RNAcentral.
UACGUAGGGGGCUAGCGUUGUCCGGAAUCAUUGGGCGUAAAGCGCGUGUAGGCGGCCCGGUAAGUCCGCUGUGAAAGUCGGGGGCUCAACCCUCGAAAGCCGGUGGAUACUGUCGGGCUCGAGUACGGAAGAGGCGAGUGGAAUUCCUGGUGUAGCGGUGAAAUGCGCAGAUAUCAGGAGGAACACCGAUUGCGAAGGCAGCUCGCUGGGACGUUACUGACGCUGAGAAGCGAAAGCGUGGGGAGCGAACAGG